This 552-nucleotide ribosomal RNA is filed under the name Citrobacter freundii. RNAcentral's name for it is "bacterial SSU rRNA". It matches the Rfam family "Bacterial small subunit ribosomal RNA", at positions 922 to 1478 of the family's 1533-position model. Lineage: Bacteria; Pseudomonadati; Pseudomonadota; Gammaproteobacteria; Enterobacterales; Enterobacteriaceae. The record is from RNAcentral.
CGCACAAGCGGUGGAGCAUGUGGUUUAAUUCGAUGCAACGCGAAGAACCUUACCUACUCUUGACAUCCAGAGAACUUAGCAGAGAUGCUUUGGUGCCUUCGGGAACUNUGAGACAGGUGCUGCAUGGCUGUCGUCAGCUCGUGUUGUGAAAUGUUGGGUUAAGUCCCGCAACGAGCGCAACCCUUAUCCUUUGUUGCCAGCGAUUCGGUCGGGAACUCAAAGGAGACUGCCAGUGAUAAACUGGAGGAAGGUGGGGAUGACGUCAAGUCAUCAUGGCCCUUACGAGUAGGGCUACACACUUGNUACAAUGGCAUAUACAAAGAGAAGCGACCUCGCGAGAGCAAGCGGACCUCAUAAAGUAUGUCGUAGUCCGGAUUGGAGUCUGCAACUNGACUCCACGAAGUCGGAAUCGCUAGUAAUCGUGGAUCAGAAUGCCACGGUGAAUACGUUCCCGGGCCUUGUACACACCGCCCGUCACACCAUGGGAGUGGGUUGCAAAAGAAGUAGGUAGCUUAACUAGAGGGAGGGCGGGAUNCAGGAACANAAUACAAG